AUUGAACGCUGGCGGCAGGCUUAACACAUGCAAGUCGAACGAGUGGCGGACGGGUGAGUAAUGCUUGGGAAUCUAGCUUAUGGAGGGGGAUAACUACGGGAAACUGUAGCUAAUCCCGCGUACCAUAGGAUGUGCCCAAUUGGGAUUAGGUAGUUGGUGAGGUAAAGGCUCACCAAGGCGACGAUCCCUAGCUGGUCUGAGAGGAUGACCAGCCACACGGGGACUGAGACACGGCCCAGACUCCUGAGGGAGGCAGCAGUGGGGAAUAUUGCGCAAGGGGGGAAAGGUGACGCAGCCAUGCCGCGUGAAUGAAGAAGGCCUUAGGGUUGUAAAGUUAUUUCGGUAGCGAGGCGUUAACAAAAGAAGAAGCACCGGCUAAAUCCGUGCCAGCAGCCGCGGUAAUUC
This 405-nucleotide ribosomal RNA is filed under the name uncultured bacterium. RNAcentral's name for it is "partial 16S ribosomal RNA". It matches the Rfam family "Bacterial small subunit ribosomal RNA", at positions 30 to 526 of the family's 1533-position model. The record is from RNAcentral.